RNAcentral lists this ribosomal RNA (274 nucleotides) under uncultured bacterium. Its description in RNAcentral is "partial 16S ribosomal RNA". It matches the Rfam family "Bacterial small subunit ribosomal RNA", at positions 523 to 796 of the family's 1533-position model. The record is from RNAcentral.
AUACGGAGGGUGCAAGCGUUAUCCGGAAUCAUUGGGUUUAAAGGGUCCGUUGGCGGUCUAAUAAGUCAGGGGUGAAAUCCCGCAGCUUAACUGUGGAACUGCCCUUGAUACUGUUGGUCUUGAGUUACAGUGAAGUGGUUAGAAUGUGUAGUGUAGCGGUGAAAUGCAUAGAGAUUACACAGAAUACCGAUUGCGAAGGCAGAUCACUAACUGUAUACUGACGCUAAUGGACGAAAGCGUGGGGAGCGAACAGGAUUAGAAACCCUAGUAGUCC